CCCCUAGAUGUCCUGGGCCGCACGCGCAAUACAAUGUAAAGUUCAGAAAGCAUAUCCUGUUCCGGAAGGCAAUGGGUAAUCUUUUCAAUAUUUUACGUGUUAGGGAUCGAUCUUUGCAAUUAUAGAUCUUGAACGAGGAAUACCUAGUAAGUGCAGCUCGUCAGGCUGUACUGAUUACGUCCCUGCCCUUUGUACACACCGCCCGUCGCUCCUACCGAUUUCGAGUGGUCCGGUGAAUCUUUUGGAAUUAGAGUGCAAACUCAAACUAAGAUCGAUAAACCUUAUCACUUAGAGGAAGGAGAAGUCGUAACA
Molecule: ribosomal RNA, 312 nt
Filed under: uncultured eukaryote
Lineage: Eukaryota
Description: partial 18S ribosomal RNA
Rfam family: Eukaryotic small subunit ribosomal RNA
Source: RNAcentral